AACGAUGGAAUUUUAACCCAUUAUUCCUCUCUCGACUUUUUGCAUCCAUUUGCUAUGUAAUCGGUUUUGGAUUCUCUUUCGGGCUUGACUCGAUAAAGUGGGCCGUGUUAGCCCAUUAUGAAAUGCAAGGAGAAAAAGUCCAUUUGGACUUCAAGGUGGGUUCAUGCAAAGAAAAAAGAUAAUGAAUUAAUGUAUAUUCUCAAAAAUUCUACACUUGCAAAUAAAUUAUAAGAUUUUAAACAAAAGAAAAUAGCAAUUCACUUACUACAUAUAGACACAUGAAACUAUAAAAUUUACAUGAACUCUAGGAUUAUGAAAAAUACAUAGCUUGCAAGUGAGUCAAUUAUAGUCAAUGAGGUCAAUCACAUCACUCAAAUAAAUAAAUCCACUAUAUAAACUCACGCUCUAUCACCAAAUAAAUGUAUAUCAUAUGAAUCCGAUAAGCUUUAAUCAUUUCUAAGCAAAUAAGCAGCGAAGCAUAUAAUAUCCAAACGAUUGCACCAUAAUUGGGAUGGAAAGCGAGAAAUAAUACUAUGCAGCAAUUAAUUCUUCAAAAAUUCGUGAUAAUUAUUACCGAAAAUUCUCAUUUCCGUGGGAAAGAAACCUGACUCAUUGCCUUUGAGAAAAAAAUAUGCAGAACAUUAUUGAAUUUUCACUAACGAAAUUGUCAUCGAGCAAUAGACGAAAUCUAAGGCACAACAAAUAUUGAAUCAAAACAGUGACUCGACCAUAUCGAUUGUGAGAAAGUAAACUCAA
RNAcentral lists this long non-coding RNA (756 nucleotides) under Capsicum annuum. Its description in RNAcentral is "long non-coding RNA (CANN_LNC014772)". The record is from RNAcentral. Lineage: Eukaryota; Viridiplantae; Streptophyta; Magnoliopsida; Solanales; Solanaceae.